UACGUAGGGGGCAAGCGUUAUCCGGGUUUACUGGGUGUAAAGGGGGCGCAGACGGCAAUGCAAGCCAGGAGUGAAAGCCCGGGGCCCAACCCCGGGACUGCUCUUGGAACUGCAUGGCUGGAGUACAGGAGGGGCAGGCGGAAUUCCUAGUGUAGCGGUGAAAUGCGUAGAUAUUAGGAGGAACACCGGUGGCGAAGGCGGCCUGCUGGACUGUGACUGACGUUGAGGCCCGAAGGCGUGGGGAGCAAACAGG
Molecule: ribosomal RNA, 253 nt
Filed under: uncultured bacterium
Lineage: Bacteria
Description: partial 16S ribosomal RNA
Rfam family: Bacterial small subunit ribosomal RNA
Source: RNAcentral